CCGAGAAGUGUAACUUGUACGCGAGUCAAAGGGUGGAAAACCCCAUGGCGAAAUGAAAGUAAAGGCCGGUUAACCGGCUGACAUGGGAUCCGCCUUUCGAGGCGGCGCACCAUGGCCCUGUCUUGUCUGCUUGCAGAUGGGCAGCGGUAGAGCGUACAGGUUGCGACCCGAAAGAUGGUGAACUAUGCCUGAGCAGGACGAAGUCAGAGGAAACUCUGAUGGAAGUCCGUAUCGGUUCUGACGUGCAAAUCGAUCGAUAGACUUGGGUA
This 269-nucleotide ribosomal RNA is filed under the name Triodontophorus brevicauda. RNAcentral's name for it is "partial 28S ribosomal RNA". It matches the Rfam family "Eukaryotic large subunit ribosomal RNA", at positions 666 to 917 of the family's 3401-position model. Lineage: Eukaryota; Metazoa; Nematoda; Chromadorea; Rhabditida; Strongylidae. The record is from RNAcentral.